Molecule: long non-coding RNA, 1462 nt
Filed under: Homo sapiens (human)
Lineage: Eukaryota; Metazoa; Chordata; Mammalia; Primates; Hominidae
Description: HSALNT0339676
Source: RNAcentral
AGACACUGCAGAGUGAGAAACAGAUGAUGGUUCUGUGGCAAACGUCCUUUUGCUGAAUAUUCUACCUACGUGGCAACAAAAACUUUGGCCCCAGCAGUUUCUCACUCUCCAGCUACUCCACUGGCAACUUCCAACAAUUUGUCAAAGUGACCACUUGCAUGCUCUUGCCAGUCUAUGGCUCCAGUUGCUUCUGUUCCAGGUAAGCAGACCUCUGCUAUAUUCUCUGUCUCUCCAGAUUUUGGGGUGAUCAUUUGUCCUGUACAAGUACAAGUCAUUGAUUUUCAGUUUGUCCAGCUUUUUCUUGUUGUUAGGAUAAAAGUGGUGACUUCCAAGUUCUUAUGUGUUGGAACUGAAACCAGAAGUCUACAUACUUGUUUCUAAAACCGGGUUUCUUAAAAACUCUCUGAACCUCAGUUUCAACAUUUGUGACUGGAUGUAACAAUAUCUACCUUCUAUGGUGAUUGUGGGGAAUAAAGGAGAAAAUGUGAAGUGCCUAGCACAUAAUACCCAGCAAUGAUUGGAUAAUGGUACCCAUCCCCUCCUCUCCCCUGCAAUGAAAUCACUAGAAGUGUGCAGGCCAAAGUAGAAAGAACCCCGGGUAAGAACAAGGUGAAGAUUUAGUAUCAGAAGGGGGAAAAAGUUCUUUACAAUCUUUCCUGCCUCUGAUUUUCCAUAGUCUUCUCACUCCCAUUUUCUAAAUGUGGUCACUCUUAAGAGAAAGUUAAUUAACAGAAUAUGCAAAUUAAAGAGCAGUUAUAACACUAAUUAACAUUUUCAUAAUAAUAGCUAGUCCAGUUCUGUACAUGUGUAAAUCAAGACAUCAGUGUCUCUGCUGCCUACAGAACUUCACACUGGAAAAUUGCAAUUACUUUGCUAUCAAAGCAGAACUGAGAAGCGUGGAAAUGGUGGCUUCUAAAAGCCUCUUCGUUUAACACAGUGUCCGAAUAGGUCGAUACCAUGCUCUGAUAGAUGAGCAAUGACUUUGAGCUUCAUUGUGGCCCAUCCUUUGGUUGGCAAGCAGUGGAUGGAAUGAUGACACAAUAGCAUCCCCUGCAGGACUGAGGUAACAACCCCAGAACUUGAGCGGCGACUUCUUUACCUCUUCCCCCUCCCUCUUUCAGUCCCAGGAAACUAAAGCUGUACCUUUUCAAAAUGUGGGCAAGCUGGAUUUUGCUGUGCUUUGCUGGAAGAUAGUCACAACUUGUUGAACAACUCCCCUGAGGACAAAGCAAUUGGGCGGCUCCGAACGCUCAGGGAAAGAAGUUGUGUUGGUAAAGAAAUUGCUGGCCAGGUGCGGUGGCUCACGCCUGUAAUCCCAGCACUUUGGGAGGCCGAGGCGGGCAGAUCACGAGGUCAGGAGAUUGGGACCAUCCUAGCCAACACGGUGAAAUCCUGUGUUUACUAAAAAUACAAAAAUUAGCUGGGUGUGGUGGUGCGCGCCCAUAGUCCCAGCUACUCUGGA